This 4135-nucleotide long non-coding RNA is filed under the name Marmota monax (woodchuck). The record is from RNAcentral. Lineage: Eukaryota; Metazoa; Chordata; Mammalia; Rodentia; Sciuridae.
GACAGGACCAGGAACUGUUGGCGGGGCCGGGCCGGGACUGGAGCACUGGGCGGAGAUCCGGACCGCACCGGCGACGGUGGGGCGGGAGAAGCCGCCUUCUGAGACCAGGCCGCCCCCGUCUACGUGAAGACUCUGCCAGGUGAAGACUCUUGCCUUGCGCUCUGCACCAUCAGCCUCUUGUUAUCUGUUCCCCCUAGGACUCCCCAAUUUUUGACAGUGACAGUCUCCUUUCGGUGGUCCCGCCCAAAGUGGAAUCUGAGCAAGUGGCACCCUACUACCUGCGCAGCCCUCAAACGUCUGCAGAUGCUGCUCACAGUCUUCUGGACACCCAGGGAUCUCUUAGAGGAAGCCUGAAAAUAAAUGUGAGACCACGUUUUUGAAAACUCCAAACCUUGAUUGCAGGGCAUGACCGGAGCUCAAACUGAAUCAGAAAAACAUCCAUUACCAGAUAGAAGUAACGUUGUAAAAACGUAUAUUCUUCACCAGUAAGUUUGAUCCCAAUAGAAAUGUCAACAGGAUUUUUCAAAAAACUUGAUAAGCUGAUCCUAAAGUCAUCUGGAAGAGAUAAUCCUCAAGAAUAGUGGGGGGAAAAAUCCAGAAAGAAGGAAGGCAGGUGGGGAGGGGGUAAAAAGCUCAAGCAGAAUUCCCCUUCUGUAUUUAAAAGCUACCUCAAAGGCAACAUGGUAUUUGUGGAGAGACAAUUGGAGUAAAUCUAAGAAUCCUGAAACAAGCCUAAGUGUACAGGAAAUAUAGGGCCCGAAAAUCAGGAAAAGAUAGGUUCUUCAAUAGUGUUGGGAUUUCCAAGUGGAAAAGGAACGCGUACACCAGGCACAGGCCAGUGGCCAAUGCCUGUAAUCCCAGCCAUUAGGAGGCAAGGCAGCAGGAUGGCAAGUUCAAAACCAGCCCCAGCAGCUUAGGGAGGCCUUGAGCAACUUAGUGAGACCCUGUCUCUAAACAAAAAGUAAAAAGGUCUAGGGAUGUGUUUCAGUGGUUAAGUGCCCCUGGGUUUAAUCUCUGGUAUUAGAAAAGAAGAAGAAAGAAAAAGAAAGGAAAGGAAAGGGUAAAUGGAAUCUCGACCUUACUUUGUUUUAAAAUGCAGUGUGAGUGACAUUAAGGACUAAUAGUAAAAACAAAAUUGCAAAACUAACAAAAUCAAAUACAAGUGAAUAUUUCAGAUUUCCAGUGGAUAACUUUUCCCUCCUGAAGCUGCCAGUGAACCCAGAGCCUCAUAUAUUCUAAGUACCUACUUCCACUAAACCCCAGCCCUGUAAUUCAAACCAUCUCUAGAUUGUUUGCAAUACCUACUACAAUGUAAAUAAUAUGUAAAUAGUUGUUAUAUUACUUUGUUUAGGGAAUAGUGACCAAAAAAAAGCUGGUAAGUAUUCAAUACAAAGCAAUUUUUUUCCAAAUAUUUUCCAUCUGAAGUUGGUUGAACCCAAAGACUCAUGGACAUGAAGGGCCAUCUGUCCAUUGUUUUACAUGUUUUAAAGCCGUAUGCAGGCCAGGUACAGUGGCACCUGCCUGUAAUCCCAGCUACUCAGGAAGCUGAGGAAAGAGAAUUGUAAGUUCAAGGCCAGGCUCACCAACUUGGUUAUCUGUUGGCAAAUUAGUUAUCUGUUGCUGCAAAACAAGUUACUCCAAAACUGAGCAUCUUACAGCAUCAGCAUGGAUCAUCGCACACAAUUACUGGAGUCAGAGGCCUGGAAGGUGCUUGACUGAGUGAUUCUGACUUAGGGUCUGUGUCAGUCUGCUUUCUGUCACUAUGGCAAAUACCUGAGAUAAAUCAAUUUGAAAGGAGGAAAGGGGGCUGGAGUAGUGACUCAGCAGUAGAGCACUUGCCUGGUAUGUGUGAGGCCCUGGGUUUGAUCCUCAGCACCACAUAUAAAUAAAUAUAUAAAAAUAAAAGGUCUAUUAACUAUAUUUUUUUAAAAAAAAGGAGGAAAAGGUUUAUUUUGACUCACAGUUUCAGAGGUUUUAGUCCAGGGUUGGUUGGCUCGGUUGCUGUUGGUCCUGUGGCAAGACAGAACCCCAUGGUAGGGAGCAUGUAGUAGCGCAGAGCUGCUCACUCACAGCAGCCAGGGGGCAAAGAAUGAGAAGAAGAGGUGGGUCCCAAUUUCCCCUUCAAGGAUAUUCCCCCAUGAUCUAGUCUCCUCCCACUGAACCCCACCUCCUGAAUUCCCUACCACCUCUGGUGGUGUCAUAGCCAGUGACCAAACCUUCAGCACAUGGGCUUGUGCAAGACACUCCAGAUCCAAACUGUAGCAGGGUGUCUGGAGACUGUGGUCAAUUUGUUAGCCAGGCCCCCGAGGAUGUGUAUGGAACUGCAGAGUCCCCUUUUAAUCCCAUGAACAUGGCUACUGGUGGGAGACCUCCAUUUCUUAAGGUGGGGCCCUCUGUAUGGCUGCUUGAAUAUCUUCCCAACAUGGCAGCUGGCCAUCCCCAGAGUGAGUGAUCUGCAGUACCUCCGUGACCUGCCAUCCCUCACUUCCCCCACACCUGCACUCUGAAAUCACUAGAUCCAACCGAAUCAAGGGUGCAUAGUAAGCUGCACCUCCUGGAGAGAGGAGGGUUUGUGGAAGUAAUUGAAAGCAUCAGCACCCAAUCACUGACAAAUGCUUGAUAGCCCUGGAUGCUCCACAGAGGAGAAUGCAGAGUCCUGGGAGAUGAGGUCAGUGGGAUGCUCCCCAGUCAGGGUGAGGGAGGGAGCCCUUGAAAGCAUAACACUGCCUGCUACAGUGCAGAAGGAAGCUGGAGGAAGACUUGCCAAAAGCAAGGGGAACCAGGACAGAGGCCUGAAGGCAGAGCAGCUGGAGAGGAGGGACGGAGCUGGGCAUGCCACUGCUCCCCCUCUCACCCCCUUUCUGCCCUUUCUCUGAAUGUCUUUGCAGGAGAAGCUUUAUAAACAUUUAGGACUGACUGACAGACCUGAACCCAGCAUGAGGAGACAAAGGUGCCAACACCCCCAGGCCCCUACGUGGAUACCCAACAUGAGCAGUUUCUCUGUGCUCCUGAGCCUCUUCUCAGUACUACAGGAAGGACACUCACCGGCACCUCACAGAAGGGGAAGCCAGAAGGCUCAGUGAUCAUCACACUCUGAGUGCAGGGUAGGGCUGGGUUUCUUCUUCACCAACCUGGAUGGACACAGCAGAAGCAGGGUGGGCCAGGCUGAGGCUCAGGCACAGACCUUCCUCUAAGGGGAUUCACAGAGCUGGAAAGGAACAGGGGUGUCAGAAUGGAACAAGGGAACAGCUUUCUUCUAAGCUGAACAUGAAACUCAAACCAGAGGUUCUUGGUUCAGGGCCUGCCAGCAGAGUUAGACCUGGAGGGAGCACCUGAGCCCCAGAACUGCCUGCUUCUGAUGGCUUUUGGGAGUCAUCAUGCUCUUUACUUUCUAAAAGUCACAUGUGUGUGUUGGUGAAAGCUCGGUCCUUGUCCCUGAUAUCAACCAAUAAUGGGGACACAGUAUUGAGAAAAAGGAAGAAGAAAGUUUAUUGCGUUGUCAGCAAAGGAGAAACACGGGGGACUCCUGUCCAAGAGGCUGUGAUUCUGCCUGUCAGCAGGAGCAGGGGGCUGGGGUGGGGGUGAUCAUUUCACAGGCACAUAUUCUUAUGGAAGUUAAACAGCACUGCCUCAGAAUCAAAACUUUGGAACUUCUAGAUAAAACGACUCUGAUUUGAAAUGGUGAAUCUGAUGCCAAUAUUGCCCAUCAGCAGGAGCAGGGGAUUUUUAAAGAGGUGACUCAAAGGCUACAUUCCACUUGUUCUCUGUUGUAGUUGUGAUUCACUUGUUCACUUGGGAGAGAGUCCUUUCUAAGAUCUUCUGGUGCCAUCCCCAAAGUCUGGAUUACUUCCUUCCUGUGGUGAGUGUGUGCUCAAGGACAGAUAAGCUCUGCCUAGGAGGGGGAAGAGAGGUAAUCCUGUUUCCCCUGAGAUUAGGGAGGGGGAGAUUAGGGAAGAGCAGGGAGAGAGGAAGAGAAGGAAACAUGUGCAUUUUAAAAUAAGUUGAAGUGGUUAGGUUCAAAGUUGCAAUGCUUAGGUUCAAAGCAUAAAGUGGACCCUAUUACAUGUUGACAUGUUGGGGUCUCCUAGAAUCAGGGAGGAACCACCCCCAGGCUAGCUAAGUCCUAGAGACAACA